This is a long non-coding RNA of Megalobrama amblycephala (Wuchang bream), 1243 nucleotides long. RefSeq lists it as uncharacterized. The record is from RefSeq and is a predicted model, not a curated record. The transcript has 4 exons. NCBI's taxonomy places the organism in Eukaryota, Metazoa, Chordata, Actinopteri, Cypriniformes, Xenocyprididae.
UGUAACAGACAUUCCGGUGGAAGAACAGACAGAGAGGACAUAAUGCUGCCGGCACACUGACAGACUGAGGCAAUGGUUAACUCAUGUAAACUGUGGGCAAACCUUUCACCUGUUGGCCAAUCAUCUCACUUUAAGUCCUUGGUGCCGGUGUCUUGUGCUUAAUAAAGAGAUGCUUCCCUAGAGGCUGAGAGCUGAAAGAGCCAUGACUGUAAACCACCCUCCCUCGGACUAUAGUGCCCUUCACCUUCCCUCGCAGAGCAAGGCCAAUGUAUGGAGUCAACUGAAAAGAGAGAAAAAGUUUGGAACGCAGAAGAAAAUCAAACAAGAUCAACUUUAAUAUAGAUUGGUGCACCAUGGAAUAGACAGCAGUUGGACUCACAUAGUGUCAUGAAUGACUUGGAUAUUUAUGAGUGAUUAAGAACAGCCACUUGGCGAAAAUGGUCAAACCUCUGAGGAAGGGGCGAGUUGAAAAAAACAGGGUGAGAUUAAGAGGUGUUAGGAAGAGUAAGACAAGCAGAAGAUAAUAGAAUGAAAAGGAAGACAAAGGCAGUAGGAAAUGAAGUCCCAGAUGUAAGUGAGUGACCAGCAUUAACUGAAUUGUUUUUGCAUCUGAUUUGGGUGAAACCCAAGGGCUACUGCCAUGUUCUGGAUGUGCCAUGGAUGGUCUGUGCCCUUUCCCUCUAUUGUACAUGAACCAGCCAAACAAUUGCUUUGACCUGCUCACAAACACUGAAUCAUCAUUACAGCAUUCAGAGGGGCUGAUGUGCUGGUCUGUUUUCUUUCUGACAUAUGCAGCAUCACAUAGAGGCACUAAAUAAAAAGCAUUUUGACUUUGAAUCACGUAUGUAAUAAUUAUCUUCCUCAAAAGAUGGCUGUUAAUGGCUGAUGGGUUUUUUGCAUACAUAUUGCUAUUCCACUCUUCAAUAUUUAUGUAUUACUCAAAUAAUAUUACUUUUGUUUAAAUGUACUCCUAAAAUAAUUAUUUAAUUAUUAGAAGCCCAACAUAGACUCGUUUUUUUCAGUAAUACAAAUUUCAACAUAUGGUAAUGGCAUUGCUUAAUCAUGAUUUCAUGAUAAGAUAUAAUUCUUUAGUGGUGUAAUUUCCAUUUAGUCUCUUAUUCACUUCCUGAUUUCAGAAAAUGCAAAGAGGGGCUGAGUCAGAAGAAUAGAGGUGGAUUAAUGUCAGUGGGAAAAGCUUCCGUUAUGAAUGCGUUUACAUGGGUUUACUGGAUUUGUGGGGAGA